This 521-nucleotide ribosomal RNA is filed under the name uncultured bacterium. RNAcentral describes it as "bacterial SSU rRNA". It matches the Rfam family "Bacterial small subunit ribosomal RNA", at positions 355 to 896 of the family's 1533-position model. The record is from RNAcentral.
UGGGGAAUAUUGGACAAUGGGCGAAAGCCUGAUCCAGCAAUGCCGCGUGAGUGAUGAAGGCCUUAGGGUUGUAAAGCUCUUUUACCAGGGAUGAUAAUGACAGUACCUGGAGAAUAAGCUCCGGCUAACUCCGUGCCAGCAGCCGCGGUAAUACGGAGGGUCCGAGCGUUAUCCGGAAUCAUUGGGUUUAAAGGGUCCGUAGGCGGGCCGUUAAGUCAGGGGUGAAAGUCUGCGGCUCAACCGUAGAAUUGCCUUUGAUACUGGCGGUCUUGAGUCAUGGUGGGGUUGCCGGAACAUGUGGUGUAGCGGUGAAAUGCAUAGAUAUCACAUAGAACACCGAUCGCGAAGGCAGGUGACCAACCAUGUACUGACGCUGAUGGACGAAAGCGUGGGUAGCGGACGGGAUUAGAUACCCCGGUAGUCCACGCCGUAAACGAUGGAUACUAGCUGUGGGGACUUCGGUCUCCGUGGCCAAGCGAAAGUGAUAAGUAUCCCACCUGGGGAGUACGUUCGCAAGAAUG